GGAGUUACAGCUCAGUGGUAGAGCGCUUGCCUAGCAUGUAUGAGGCACUGGGUUUGAUCCUCAGCACCA
Molecule: transfer RNA, 69 nt
Filed under: Marmota monax (woodchuck)
Lineage: Eukaryota; Metazoa; Chordata; Mammalia; Rodentia; Sciuridae
Description: tRNA.Ala
Source: RNAcentral